GCUCCCAUAGGCUAAUGGAUAGACCAUGAGUUUCCGAAACUUAAAAUGAAGGUUCAAUUCCUUCUGGGAGCA
RNAcentral lists this transfer RNA (72 nucleotides) under Candidatus Pacebacteria bacterium RIFOXYB1_FULL_44_10. Its description in RNAcentral is "tRNA-Arg". It matches the Rfam family "tRNA". Rfam says of the family: Transfer RNA (tRNA) molecules are approximately 80 nucleotides in length. The record is from RNAcentral. Lineage: Bacteria; Bacillati; Minisyncoccota. RNAcentral also lists the same sequence under 1 other name.